AGAAAAAGCACCGGCUAACUACGUGCCAGCAGCCGCGGUAAUACGUAGGGUGCAAGCGUUGUCCGGAAUUAUUGGGCGUAAAGAGCUCGUAGGCGGUGUGUCACGUCUGCUGUGAAAAUCCAAGGCUCAACCUUGGACUUGCAGUGGGUACGGGCACACUCGAGUGCGGUAGGGGAGAUUGGAAUUCCUGGUGUAGCGGUGGAAUGCGCAGAUAUCAGGAGGAACACCGAUGGCGAAGGCAGAUCUCUGGGCCGUAACUGACGCUGAGGAGCGAAAGCGUGGGGAGCGAACAGGAUUAGAUACCCUGGUAGUCCACGCCGUAAACGGUGGGAACUAGAUGUGGGGUCCGUUCCACGGAUUCCGUGUCGCAGCUAACGCAUUAAGUUCCCCGCCUGGGGAGUACGGCCGCAAGGCUAAAACUCAAAGGAAUUGACGGGGGCCCGCACAAGCGGCGGAGCAUGCGGAUUAAUUCGAUGCAACGCGAAGAACCUUACCAAGGCUUGACAUAUAGAGGAAAAGUGCAGAGAUGCACUCCCCGCAAGGUCUCUAUACAGGUGGUGCAUGGUUGUCGUCAGCUCGUGUCGUGAGAUGUUGGGUUAAGUCCCGCAACGAGCGCAACCCUCGUCCUAUGUUGCCAGCACGUAAUGGUGGGAACUCAUGGGAUACUGCCGGGGUCAACUCGGAGGAAGGUGGGGAUGACGUCAAAUCAUCAUGCCCCUUAUGUCUUGGGCUUCACGCAUGCUACAAUGGCCGGUACAGAGGGCAGCAAUACCGCAAGGUGGAGCGAAUCCCAGAAAGCCGGUCUCAGUU
RNAcentral lists this ribosomal RNA (810 nucleotides) under marine metagenome. RNAcentral describes it as "bacterial SSU rRNA". It matches the Rfam family "Bacterial small subunit ribosomal RNA", at positions 483 to 1293 of the family's 1533-position model. The record is from RNAcentral.